This is a non-coding RNA of Manis javanica (Malayan pangolin), 1805 nucleotides long. Lineage: Eukaryota; Metazoa; Chordata; Mammalia; Pholidota; Manidae. The record is from RefSeq and is a predicted model, not a curated record.
GCCUCUGGUUAUGGGGAGCUUCACUUCAGAUGAGUCAGAUGGAGGACGGAAGGGGAAGCUGCCCGAGGGGCAGGCCUGGGACGGAGGCAAAUGCACAGGGAGGACAGCAGACCUCCAAGGGUACUACUUGAUGCAACAUGGAAAGAGGCUGAGCUUGGCAGUCAAGGCCCUGAGUUUAAUCUGACUUCUCCAAUUACAAAAGGGCCUUCCAGGCUUCAGAGACACUUCUGCUUCUGGCUUUCCUUACUGUAGCCCCUCAGAGCAGAGGCGCCGGGCCCCAGCUGGAGACUGCCGCCCGGCCUCACCUCGUCUUCUAGGGCCUGUGCUUGGCGGCCCAGGGCCCGCGGCCCCACCCUCAGGCUCUGCCGAGGAAGGCGGCCUUCCAAGGCUCCAGUCAGCUAGGUGGGAAUUCCAGGCUGUGUGUAUUUAUGGAAGGCCAUGGCGGUCCUGAGAGAGGAAUGAUAUGCUGACCUGCAUUCUGGUGAGCUCCUGGGAGCCUACAGGCUUCUCCCUCCCCUCCUGUGAGCCUGGUGCCCCAAACCCAGGACACUGUCCAGGGAGGAUGACUGAGCUGGGCAAGGAAGAGGGGAACUCGGCGGCAGAGCCUCUCGAAGGCCUGGCUUCUAAUCUGGGUUGUCACCCACCACUGCCCCUGCCCCGUCUGCAGGUACUUCCAGAACAUCUCCUGUGGGCAGGCUGUGCUUUCUUCAACCUGGGGAAUUUGCUAAUCUCUGGGUUCACUUCGGGAAGGAACUGAGAGACAGAGAUGGCAACAGGGCCGCUGGUGCAUGGGAGCACCCAGACACAAAGCGAAUAAUUAUUCCUGGCUGACAUCAGCAGCCCACUGCUGACUGUGUGAGCUGCUUUCCUUCCAGCCCCACCUGUGGGUCUGGCAGCCCCCAAAGAAAUAGCGAUGAGUAGCUGCAUGGGUCUUAGAUGCUGGUCGGCACGUGGCUGACCACCACCUCCCCACUGUUCUUAGGUCUUCUAGGUAUUAUCGGUCUGGGUACAACCAAGAUCUUUUACCCACUAAUCCCGCUGUUGCAGACAGGUGUGAAAAGCACAGAUAGCAGACAUCAUGGGGUGCUGAUUUAAUUACUACUCUUCAGAGCAGUCAGUUUGGGUCUGGAAAGCUCCUAAAGGCAGGUCUGUCUGUGAAACAAGAGCAGACAUUGUGAGUUUUAAAUAGGCAGCUGACAGCCCACGGCUGACGGUGAUGUCAGGCCCACCAGCUGGGCGGACUCCAUCCCUGGCAGGCUCACUGUUCUUCCUUGCCUCAGGCUCAGGCCUCUGUGUGAGGAUGAGCCCAGGGCUGGUGAGGAGGCUGCGGCCAGGACAGGUAGGACAAGGCAGGGAUUCCCCAUCAGAGGGGGCUGAGCCAUGCGUUCCAGUGCCCAAAAGUUGUGGGUCCUUCUCAUUUAUCCACUCAACAAACAUUUAUUAAACACCUUCUGCUUGCCAAACACUACUCUUCCCUGGGGACAUGAUGGUGAAUGGUGAACCUCAAGGUGACUGCUCAGAUACCCUGUCUUCGCAAAACCUUGUUCUCCGGUGCUCCUCCACUGGUGCCUUAAUAUGACCAGGAGCUCACGGAGCAGGGGAAGGCUGUAUGCCACAGAGCUUCCUUCAGCAUCAGACCUGAGCUGUCUCCAGUGUUGGCCCUGGAGGAACCCACUGAAUAAAUUUAUCCUCAAGCAAAUCUUGGCUGCCUCAGAGGAACCCAGAUGGCCUUUCGUGUGUGUGUGUGUGUGUGUGUGGUGUCCAUGCAUUAGGGUAAUUCCAUUUGUGUUUAAGCUAGAGGGAGU